AAAGGAGAAAUCCGGUGUUAAAUGGACUUUUGGUGUAGUAAAACAUAAAACGGAGCACACCUCCGUUCACAGCGUUCCAAGAUCCGGGGCAAAUUAUGCCCAGUGUCACCCAGUCUGAAGGGUGUUUGGAUAGACUGUUCAAAGUUCUGGAUCUCGGGACGCUGUGGAAGAAUGGAGGAGUGCUAUUCAUCAAAGAAUCUGGAAAAGGAACAGAAGAAAAAUGUAUAAACAGUGUGUCUCCAAAAUGUGACGUCUCAGCUGGGAUAUGACACACUCUUUGUCCCAAGAUCAAACUUACCCUUCCUGCAAAGCUGCGGCGAAAGAUGAAGAAGAUGUGAAAAAGAUAACGCAGGAAGAAGAGUGGUGAAGGCUGCACCAGCAGAGAGGAGAAAAUGUCAGAGUUUAAUUAGAAGGUGCGUCAGUGAGGUAUGGGUGCUCGUAAUUAUCACAUCCAGCUCCAGUCUGCCCUGCAGCAGGGGCUACACAUGGUGCCAUUAUGAAAGGUAAAUUCAAUAAAGCGUUCACUCCCAAAGAAAUUUCUGGUCUAAUGUGUGGUGAUGGCGGAAAGAGAGAGAGUCUUCUUUCUCUCCAGCGUAGCCUCUUGUAAGUGCUCUCGUAACACUCGUUAGCGGUCUGGACCUCACGUGUAUUCUUUAAAAAAAAAGAAUAGAAGUUAACUGGCCCUAAAGCCCCUGAAACCUGUUUUAAAGAAGAUCUAAUACACUUAAUAUGGUUUUACUGUUAUCAAACUAUGAGAACUGGUCAUAAACUUAAUAGUAAUUUGGGGACAAUUGGUGAAAUUUAAGAUGUAUUAAUCUUCAUUUAGGGUAUGGAGCACCCCAGCUGUAACAUUUGGUUUAAUAUAUUGACUAUUUUUUGGUGUUGAGUAUAGCAUGUCGUUGUUGUCCAAUAAAAAAACAAGUAUCUCUAUUUUUGUCAAUUUGUAGUUUACUACAUAAUUUGAACAGACAAACUGUUCCUUACACUGUGCCAAAAUUUCUUGAUAAACGGACCAAUACAUUGACUUCCAUUGAAUGUUUAGAAGAAUUUUUGUUUUUCUUUGGAGAGUGACAAUAUGGUUGCUGUCCUCUGUAUGCAGUAUGCUGUUGGCUUUUCUUGUCAAUUCCAUUUCUAAUGUGUUUAGCUUAGGUCUGAGGUCAUUUUUGAAGAAUUUAGCAUAGCCUAAAUACCUGCUAACUUAUAUAUUACCUAUAUAUAUAUAUAAUAAAUGAUUUGAAUUGAGCUAGAAAUGUCUAUCAGAAUGGUACACAGUGAAAUGCAGGAAAAACACAAUGCAGGAAAGUGUUACUUCCAACAGUGACAUCAUGGUGGUUCACUCCUGGUAAGCAA
Long non-coding RNA from Astyanax mexicanus (Mexican tetra), 1350 nucleotides. RefSeq lists it as uncharacterized. The record is from RefSeq and is a predicted model, not a curated record. The transcript has 3 exons. Lineage: Eukaryota; Metazoa; Chordata; Actinopteri; Characiformes; Acestrorhamphidae.